Molecule: ribosomal RNA, 253 nt
Filed under: uncultured bacterium
Lineage: Bacteria
Description: partial 16S ribosomal RNA
Rfam family: Bacterial small subunit ribosomal RNA
Source: RNAcentral
UAUGAAGGGGGCUAGCGUUGUUCGGAAUCACUGGGCGUAAAGGGCGCGUAGGCGGCUUUAUAAGUCGGGGGUGAAAGCCUGUGGCUCAACCACAGAAUUGCCUUCGAUACUGUAGAGCUUGAGACCGGAAGAGGUAAGUGGAACUGCGAGUGUAGAGGUGAAAUUCGUAGAUAUUCGCAAGAACACCAGUGGCGAAGGCGGCUUACUGGUCCGGUUCUGACGCUGAGGCGCGAAAGCGUGGGGAGCAAACAGG